RNAcentral lists this ribosomal RNA (253 nucleotides) under uncultured bacterium. RNAcentral describes it as "partial 16S ribosomal RNA". It matches the Rfam family "Bacterial small subunit ribosomal RNA", at positions 524 to 776 of the family's 1533-position model. The record is from RNAcentral.
UACAGAGGUCCCAAGCGUUGUUCGGAUUCACUGGGCGUAAAGGGUGCGUAGGUGGCCAGGUAAGUUCGGUGUGAAAGCUCGGAGCUUAACUCCGAAAUGUCAUUGAAUACUAUCUGGCUUGAGGGUCGGAGGGGAGACUGGAAUUCUCGGUGUAGCAGUGAAAUGCGUAGAUAUCGAGAGGAACACCAGUGGCGAAGGCGAGUCUCUGGACGACUCCUGACACUGAGGCACGAAAGCCAGGGGAGCAAACGGG